CUUACGGGAGGCUGCAGUGGGGAAUAUUGGGCAAUGGGCGAAAGCCUGACCCAGCAACGCCGCGUGAAGGAAGAAGGUUUUCGGAUUGUAAACUUCUGUCCUCAGGGAAGAAGGACGUGACGGUACCUGAGGAGGACGCCCCGGCUAACUACGUGCCAGCAGCCGCGGUAAUACGUAGGGGGCGAGCGUUGUCCGGAAUGACUGGGCGUAAAGGGCGCGUAGACGGCUGUCUAAGUCUGGAGUGAAAGUCCUGUUUUCAAGGUGGGAAGUGCUGUGGAGACUGGAUGGCUUGAGUGCGGAAGAGGUAAGUGGAAUUCCCAGUGUAGCGGUGAAAUGCGUAGAGAUUGGGAGGAACACCAGUGGCGAAGGCGACUUACUGGGCCGUAACUGACGUUGAAGCGCGAAAGCGUGGGGAGCGAACAGGAUUAGAUACCCUGGUAGUC
This 443-nucleotide ribosomal RNA is filed under the name uncultured bacterium. Its description in RNAcentral is "partial 16S ribosomal RNA". It matches the Rfam family "Bacterial small subunit ribosomal RNA", at positions 338 to 795 of the family's 1533-position model. The record is from RNAcentral.